GUGCUUGUAGCUCAGCUGGAAGAGCAGGAGCCUUCUAAGCUUCUGGUCGGGGGUUCGAGUCCCUCCAGGCAUACCA
RNAcentral lists this transfer RNA (76 nucleotides) under compost metagenome. Its description in RNAcentral is "tRNA-Arg". It matches the Rfam family "tRNA". Rfam says of the family: Transfer RNA (tRNA) molecules are approximately 80 nucleotides in length. Their secondary structure includes four short double-helical elements and three loops (D, anti-codon, and T loops). The record is from RNAcentral.